GUGGAGGGCAAGUCUGGUGCCAGCAGCCGCGGUAAUUCCAGCUCCACUAGCGUAUAUUAAAAUUGUUGCGGUUAAAACGUUCGAAGUUGAUUGUUGUCCAGUACGGGUGUGGCACCGCUUAGUGCGGUUGCUAUCAUUUCCGAUGACUUGGACUAUAUGACUGAACACUAAAUGAAUAGCAUUGAUGCCUUUAACUAMGAUAGAUGUCUAU
This 211-nucleotide ribosomal RNA is filed under the name Brillia modesta. RNAcentral's name for it is "partial 18S ribosomal RNA". It matches the Rfam family "Eukaryotic small subunit ribosomal RNA", at positions 550 to 769 of the family's 1831-position model. Lineage: Eukaryota; Metazoa; Arthropoda; Insecta; Diptera; Chironomidae. The record is from RNAcentral.